Molecule: ribosomal RNA, 1343 nt
Filed under: uncultured bacterium
Lineage: Bacteria
Description: 16S ribosomal RNA
Rfam family: Bacterial small subunit ribosomal RNA
Source: RNAcentral
GACGAACGCUGGCGGCGUGCUUAACACAUGCAAGUCGAACGGAAAGGCCCUGCUUUUGUGGGGUGCUCGAGUGGCGAACGGGUGAGUAACACGUGAGUAACCUGCCCUUGACUUUGGGAUAACUUCAGGAAACUGGGGCUAAUACCGGAUAGGAGCUCCUGCUGCAUGGUGGGGGUUGGAAAGUUUCGGCGGUUGGGGAUGGACUCGCGGCUUAUCAGCUUGUUGGUGGGGUAGUGGCUUACCAAGGCUUUGACGGGUAGCCGGCCUGAGAGGGUGACCGGCCACAUUGGGACUGAGAUACGGCCCAGACUCCUACGGGAGGCAGCAGUGGGGAAUAUUGCACAAUGGGCGGAAGCCUGAUGCAGCAACGCCGCGUGCGGGAUGACGGCCUUCGGGUUGUAAACCGCUUUCGCCUGUGACGAAGCGUGAGUGACGGUAAUGGGUAAAGAAGCACCGGCUAACUACGUGCCAGCAGCCGCGGUGAUAUGUAGGGUGCGAGCGUUGUCCGGAUUUAUUGGGCGUAAAGGGCUCGUAGGUGGUUGAUCGCGUCGGAAGUGUAAUCUUGGGGCUUAACCCUGAGCGUGCUUUCGAUACGGGUUGACUUGAGGAAGGUAGGGGAGAAUGGAAUUCCUGGUGGAGCGGUGGAAUGCGCAGAUAUCAGGAGGAACACCAGUGGCGAAGGCGGUUCUCUGGGCCUUUCCUGACGCUGAGGAGCGAAAGCGUGGGGAGCGAACAGGCUUAGAUACCCUGGUAGUCCACGCUGUAAACGGUGGGUACUAGGUGUGGGGUCCAUUCCACGGGUUCCGUGCCGUAGCUAACGCUUUAAGUACCCCGCCUGGGGAGUACGGCCGCAAGGCUAAAACUCAAAGGAAUUGACGGGGCCCCGCACAAGCGGCGGAGCAUGCGGAUUAAUUCGAUGCAACGCGUAGAACCUUACCUGGGUUUGACAUGGAUCGGGAGCGCUCAGAGAUGGGUGUGCCUCUUUUGGGGUCGGUUCACAGGUGGUGCAUGGCUGUCGUCAGCUCGUGUCGUGAGAUGUUGGGUUAAGUCCCGCAACGAGCGCAACCCUUGUUCACUGUUGCCAGCACGUUAUGGUGGGGACUCAGUGGAGACCGCCGGGGUCAACUCGGAGGAAGGUGGGGAUGACGUCAAGUCAUCAUGCCCCUUAUGUCCAGGGCUUCACGCAUGCUACAAUGGCUGGUACAGAGAGUGGCGAGCCUGUGAGGGUGAGCGAAUCUCGGAAAGCCGGUCUCAGUUCGGAUUGGGGUCUGCAACUCGACCUCAUGAAGUCGGAGUCGCUAGUAAUCGCAGAUCAGCAACGCUGCGGUGAAUACGUUCCCGGG